RNAcentral lists this non-coding RNA (140 nucleotides) under Bacillus methanolicus MGA3. Lineage: Bacteria; Bacillati; Bacillota; Bacilli; Caryophanales; Bacillaceae. The record is from RNAcentral.
AGGAAGAUUAGGAACACUUUUUGAAACCAAAUGAUAAAGUGCUUUUAUUUGGUCAUCUCGAAACUGAUAACCAGGUUCUGUUUCUAAAACGAUAGAAGCUGAAGCCUCCUCGGCUUUAUCGGACACAAAUACCCCGGGUU